AGUCACUGACAUUAGAUACCCGCGUAGUCCAGGGUGUAAACGCUGCAGACUUGGUGUUGGAAAUCCUUCGAGGGUAUUCAGUGCCGGAGAGAAGUUGUUAAGUCUGCUACUUGGGAGUACGUCCGCAAGGAUGAAACUUAAAGGAAUUGGCGGGGGAGCACCGCAACGGGAGGAGCGUGCGGUUUAAUUGGAUUCAACACCGGAAAACUCACCAGGGGAGACUGUUACAUGAAGGCCGAGAUGAAGACUCUGCUAGAUUUUCAG
Molecule: ribosomal RNA, 264 nt
Filed under: uncultured archaeon
Lineage: Archaea
Description: partial 16S ribosomal RNA
Rfam family: Archaeal small subunit ribosomal RNA
Source: RNAcentral